UCAGAUUAUUACAAUGUUCAUACAACGCGAUAAAUUUCUCUCGUGCAAAAAUGUAACCUACGUUUGCAACAUUCGUGACAAAUGUCUUCCAAACUACAGUUUUCCGAUUGUGUGUGUCGAAAUGUUGCGCGAAUAAUCUCAAUUGGCGCGGUGAAAUGAUAGAUUUGACUCUCGUAAAAUUUCUCAUCUGCCUAAAAAAAUUGAUCCUUGUUAUAGCGCAACCCCUUGAGACGAUCGUGAAAUGCGUACUGCCAAUGCUAAUCGCGCAACUAUCGGGACCAAAAUAUUUACGAUGGGCGCGAAAUUCAUUAGUCUCGCUAUCCUAUUUCAUGUGAUAUCCUCUAUGUGCAUGGCAUGAAUAAGGACAAAAAUGAAGAAACGUUAACUCAACACUUUCAUUAUCAUUAUGUACACUUAAUGAUUCCCGUUUUUGCCCGCAUUCAUCCUGUAUGUGACAUGCGUGAACCUAUAUUACACCAUAUAAUGCAACCAUUAAGGAAAUUACGAAUCCAAUCGUGACAAGUUAUCGCUGAUAAUAGUUAAUUUUUGCGUUUUAUUUUUACUUAUUCGGCACUAUAUUUCUGCUGCUGGAUUCGUAUGUCGAAGCAACAAAAUUGCCUCCCGAGAGAUAUACAUACAGCGUUUGCCAUUACCAUCAAGUGUAUUUACCGGAGGAAGCGAUGGCAUUACAGACACGCGACAGAGGAAUGUUCUAUCUCUUGGAAGGCGUCGGAAGACAUCGCCGGAAGAACGUGAUUCAUUUCAUAGUUGACAAAUAGGUCGGCAGUAGUAAUGGAAAAAUAACGAUAGCAUCGCUAGUUAUCUCUUUACUUCGGUAUUUUACGUAACGAUCGCAAUAUGAAUUCACCAUCAACGCCGAUCUUCGUAUGCUUUCAGACUAAAAGCUCCUAAAUAAAGUUUAACAUUUUUCGACUGAUAUCAA
Molecule: long non-coding RNA, 943 nt
Organism: Mycetomoellerius zeteki
Lineage: Eukaryota; Metazoa; Arthropoda; Insecta; Hymenoptera; Formicidae
Exons: 4
Source: RefSeq, a predicted model, not a curated record